Lagenorhynchus albirostris (white-beaked dolphin) is the source of this 2482-nucleotide long non-coding RNA. RefSeq lists it as uncharacterized. The transcript is spliced from 3 exons. The record is from RefSeq and is a predicted model, not a curated record. Lineage: Eukaryota; Metazoa; Chordata; Mammalia; Artiodactyla; Delphinidae.
CAAAUAUUUUCUACCACUCUGUGGCCUGUCUCUUCAUUUUUUAGAAGAGCAGAAGUCCUUAACUUGGAUAAAGUCGGUUUCUCCUUUUGUAGGAAGAAAACUUCCUCAACCUGAUGAAAAACCUACAGCUGACAUCAUCCAUAAGGCUAAAUGCUUUAUGUCCAUGAUAGGAAAGAAACAAGGAUGUCUGCUCUCACCAGCUCAAUAUUUAAUUUUGUGUGGGAGAUCUUAACUAGUGCAAUAAGAAUCCCAUUUCUCAUUUCCUCAAGGUCCAGUCCUCACAAGCCAGGACUAUUCAAGCACAUCCCAAACCCAUAUAGUCAUUCGUACUGUGACCCAGUGAAACGGAGCUAUUGGUUUCCCUACAAGUUUUCCUUCUGUAGAUCUUUGUGAAAGCUUGAACAUCAAGCUUUGUCAAAUGACUCUGAUUCUUCACCAUAUCUGUAUCUUGUUCAGUGGAGAACAUGCAGUCCUGGAGCUGAUUCUAGAAUCCAUUUCAAAAAUAAGGGAAGAGAGAGAGAAAGUGACUCCAAGCAAAAUGUCCCUGACAUUUCUUCAUUCCAAGAGGGUGUUUUUACCAUAAGAAGGAAUCAUAGAUUACUGGAGUUGGAAAAAGCCAUGAAUAAGAUCCUUGUACUGGAUGUAGAGAUCAAGCCCCAUAGAGAUUAAAUGACUUGCCCAAGGUCACAGUUUGUUAGUCUCUUAGAAGAAAUAAUACAUUUUUCUAAAAUAGGAUGCUUCUCACAUUUUAGUCUUUUACUCUCCUUAGCAAAUUUAACCUUUUCCAUGCAGCUGUUGAGAUAACCUACUGGGUGUAUAAGCUACAUCAACACAAGGCACGUAUCUCAGAAAAUGCCCCCAGACUGCCUCCCUUUUCAUUAUUGAAAACCACGAGAUGAAACUCUUUAAUAACCCACUGCACAAGAGGACCAUUACUGUCAGCAUAUACCAUUCAGCCAUAUAUUAUAGCUUUUUACUUCUCCACACAAAAUUGCCUUGAAAUUUACAUUUGCUAUAAAGGAUUCAAGUCCAUCACCGUUAAUUUCCCUCUACAAAUUAUGUUUAAUUAUCACCUCUUUCCACCUAUAAAGAAGCCCCUCUUGUACUUCUGUCUCCAUAUAGCUCUCAAGAAGUGUUUCCUCAGCAUGAAUCUUUGAUGGUGCUUUUAUAUCCCUUACAUGCCCUUCCUUCUCAAGCUCACACAGCCCACUUAGAGAUAUGGAAAUGAACGGCUUGCCUGGCGCCUCAUUUCCUUCAUACAUAUGAAAUCUGGUCUCCCUAAGCAGGAGAAAAAGAGGAACAUUUUCCAGCUUUCGCCUGUGGACAGUUAGGCUAGAAACAUCCCAUUCUAGGAUUCAGAGAAGCUUUGAAAGGCUAUCCAUGAUUGAUUGCUUAACAGGUCAUAUACUACAUCUAAUCUUUCUGAUGCUUCAAGCAUCAUCUUUAUUCUCUCCCUCAGUUGUGGAGCCCUAGAAGAUAUCAGUUUAAGGGAAAUAUUGAGAAAUCCCAAAAUUAUAUUUUACUCUUUUUUCCAUUUAAUUUCUAUGCUUCCUUAGUACCAUAUAAAGAGCAUGGUCUUCAGAGUCAAAAAUGUUAGCAGUCAAAUCAUAACUCUACCAAAAAUUUACGUAACUUCAAGCAAAUCGCUUAUCUCUGAGUCCCUGUUCUCUCAACCUUAAACAUAAAGCUAUUUUAAGUUUAACUAAGAUUAGCAUGUAUUAUGCUUGGCACAUUCAAGGAAUUCAAAUGUUAAUUAUCCCCUUCCAGAUUCAAUGAAGCAGUAUUUUUGUCUAUAAUCUACUGUCUGCAGCUGAUGGAAACUCAACUCAAACUAGCUGAAGCUAAAAUGGAAUUCACUGACUCACAUAACCAGGAAGUCCUGGCAUGUCUCUGGCUCUGGACAUAGCUGGAUUAAACUUCCCAAUGUCGCCAUGGCUCUGGACUCUGUUUAUCUCUGCUUGGAGUUGCUCUGAACAUAAGCACUGACCAAAUGACUGGCAAAAUAGCUAGUAUAAGUUAAAGAUCUUCAGCCCCCUCUCUUAGUAGACCCUCAGUGAAGAAAACUGUCUCCUACUAUUUACAUAUCAAGUUCAGGGAAGAUUCUAACUGGCCUUGCUUGAAUCAUGUGCCUGCCUCCCAGUCACUGUGACCAUUGGGAAGGCACUACUCAGUUUGGCCACCCUGGCUAAGGACCUACCAUUGUGGUAGAGAACAAAGUGCCAUGAUUUAUAGUCAUAGGAUUAAAUGGAGUGAGGGAUCCUCAAGAAACCAGAAGGACAAUUAAAAUAAUACUGGGAGAAAAAAUUUAAAUAAAUGACAACUAUAGCUUCCAGUGUGCAUUUUUGUCAAUCAAUAAAUAAGUUCUUGGUUUCUUUAUUCAUAACUAGAUUUUCUUUUGCACUCGAGAUUGUCUUGUAUGGGGACCUGUAGUCUAUGUCAGGGAUUAGCAAACUACAACCCAGAGACCAAAUGUGGCCCACUG